Molecule: long non-coding RNA, 1303 nt
Filed under: Homo sapiens (human)
Lineage: Eukaryota; Metazoa; Chordata; Mammalia; Primates; Hominidae
Description: non-protein coding lnc-CRACR2A-3:4
Source: RNAcentral
AGGCUCAGCUUCCAUCACCGCGUGGCGGAGCCCGUGUCCGGGCCAGUGCUGACUUUGAGACUUUUCUGAUGGUGACUCAUGAUAUGCAUGGAAGCAUAAGAAAUGCUCACACGAAACAUUCAGAAAACUAAACUUACCCUUACGGUAUAUGAUGCUGUGAUGGUUAACACUGAGUGUCAACUUGAUUGGAUUGAAGGAUGUGAAGUAUUUUUCCUGGGUGCGUCUGUGAGGGUGUUGCCAAAGGAGAUUAACAUUUGAGUCAGUGGACUGGGGCAGGCAGACCCACCCUCAAUGUGGGUGGGCACCGUCUAAUCAGCAGCCAACAUGGCUAGAAUAAAACAGGCAGAAGAACAUGGAAGGACUUGACUUGCUGAGUCUUCUGGCCUUCAUCUUUCUUCCAUGCUGGAUGCUUCCUGCCCUCGAACAUGAGACUCCAAGUUCUUCAGCUUUUGGACACUUGGACUUACACCAGUAGUUUGCCAGGGGCUUUUGGGCCUUUGGACACAGCCUGAAGUCUGCAAUGUCGGCUUCCCUACUUUUGAGGUUUCGGGACUCGGACUGAUCCACCACUGGCUUCCUUGCUCCUCAACUUGCAGACGACCUAUUGUGGGACUUUACCUUGUGAUCCUGUGAGUCGAUUCUCCUUAAUAAACACCCUUUCAUAUAUACGUAGAUUCUAUUAGUUCUACCCAUCUAGAAAAUCCUAAUACAGAUGCAUGCUGAUAUUUUCUCUACUAUUUUAGCUCACUUUUUUUAGUGCAGGUUACAACCCACUAAAUUUAUUUUAUCACCCAAAUGGGUCACAUUCCAAAGUUUGCAAAACACGAAGCAGGAUUCAGGUGGCAAUUCUUCCCCGUCACCCUAUCUCUGACUCCCACCGCCCCACCCCACCUAGGGUUUCAGUUAAGCCAUAAUCAUUAUGGGAUGAUCCUGCUGAGCAGAGGAGGAACCAAAAUGCCACACUUUCAUGCCUCUUUCAUGGCCCUAAAAAGAAAAUGUGGCCCAGGCUUUCCUAGGCGGCCACCUAGAAGAUGUGUUUCUUUCCCCUCCCUUUUCCUCCACGGCUCCCUGCAGCUACCAUUACCCCUGCAAUGUUUUUCUCUAAUUUAUUAUUUUAAUUAGCUGCUUGGCUGUGUUCAUAAUCAAAACUUUUCCAGCCUCCCAGGAGCUCUGCCAGGCAAUGGGAAGCACUCCGUGACUGGAGAGGCUGCCUCUGCUCCUGAAGCGGAGACCUUGCUCCUUCCCAGGCCGCCAGGAGGGCUCAGCCUACAGGGAAGCUUGGGAGCCCUUAAAGGAGGCAUGG